GGGAAAUUUAGUACCGAAGUUCCUGAUUCCACACUGCCUAGAAAAUCCUCUAGUGAGGUGAAAGGUGCCCGUACCGCAAACCGACACAGGUAGGCGAGGAGAGAAUCCUAAGGUGAGCGAGAGAACUCUCGUUAAGGAACUCGGCAAAAUGACCCCGUAACUUCGGGAGAAGGGGUGCUCUGUUAGGGUGCAAGCCCGAGAGAGCCGCAGUGAAUAGGCCCAGGCGACUGUUUAGCAAAAACACAGGUCUCUGCGAAGCCGUAAGGCGAAGUAUAGGGGCUGACGCCUGCCCGGUGCUGGAAGGUUAAGAGGAGAGGUUAGUCGCAAGACGAAGCUUUGAAUUGAAGCCCCAGUAAACGGCGGCCGUAACUAUAACGGUCCUAAGGUAGCGAAAUUCCUUGUCAGGUAAGUUCUGACCCGCACGAAAGGCGCAACGAUCUGGGCACUGUCUCAACGAGAGACUCGGUGAAAUUAUAGUACCUGUGAAGAUGCAGGUUACCCGCGACAGGACGGAAAGACCCCGUGGAGCUUUACUGCAGCUUGAUAUUGAAUUUUGGUACAGCUUGUACA
This 570-nucleotide ribosomal RNA is filed under the name Escherichia coli. RNAcentral's name for it is "partial 23S ribosomal RNA". It matches the Rfam family "Bacterial large subunit ribosomal RNA", at positions 1572 to 2140 of the family's 2925-position model. Lineage: Bacteria; Pseudomonadati; Pseudomonadota; Gammaproteobacteria; Enterobacterales; Enterobacteriaceae. The record is from RNAcentral.